AUAUUGGUCAAUGGACGCAAGUCUGAACCAGCCAUGCCGCGUGUAGGAUGAAGGUCCUCUGGAUUGUAAACUUCUUUUAUCUGGGACGAAAACGGGAUUUUUAUCUCAAUUGACGGUACCAGAGGAAUAAGCACCGGCUAACUCCGUGCCAGCAGCCGCGGUAAUACGGAGGGUGCGAGCGCUAUCCGGAUUUACUGGGUUUAAAGGGUGCGUAGGUGGGCUUAUAAGUCAGUGGUGAAAUCUCCGAGCUUAACUUGGAAACUGCCGUUGAUACUAUAGGUCUAGAAUUAUCUUGAGGUUAGCGGAAGAUGUCAUGUAGCGGUGAAAUGCUUAGAUAUGACAUAGAACACCAAUUGCGAAGGCAGCUUACUACAUAUAAAUUGACGCUGAGGCACGAAAGCGUGGGGAUCAAACA
RNAcentral lists this ribosomal RNA (415 nucleotides) under uncultured bacterium. RNAcentral's name for it is "bacterial SSU rRNA". It matches the Rfam family "Bacterial small subunit ribosomal RNA", at positions 361 to 774 of the family's 1533-position model. The record is from RNAcentral.